CCCUUAUUUAGAGCGGUGGAGAUACAUAGGAUCGAUGAAGCCCGGCAACCCCAUAUGGUAAGAUAUGGAAGGUGCCAACCUGAGCGACUAUCCUGCUUUUGCGGCAGGUCGAACAAUAAGAG
This 122-nucleotide non-coding RNA is filed under the name Eubacterium sp. Its description in RNAcentral is "SAM-I sequence". It matches the Rfam family "SAM riboswitch aptamer (S box leader)". From Rfam's summary of the family: The SAM riboswitch is found upstream of a number of genes which code for proteins involved in methionine or cysteine biosynthesis in Gram-positive bacteria. The SAM riboswitch acts at the level of transcription termination control. RNAcentral also lists the same sequence under 1 other name. The record is from RNAcentral. Lineage: Bacteria; Bacillati; Bacillota; Clostridia; Eubacteriales; Eubacteriaceae.